CCGAGCAACGCCGCGUGAGUGAAGAAGGUUUUCGGAUCGUAAAACUCUGUUGUUAGAGAAGAACAAGGAUGAGAGUAGAAUGUUCAUCCCUUGACGGUAUCUAACCAGAAAGCCACGGCUAACUACGUGCCAGCAGCCGCGGUAAUACGUAGGUGGCAAGCGUUGUCCGGAUUUAUUGGGCGUAAAGCGAGCGCAGGCGGUUUCUUAAGUCUGAUGUGAAAGCCCCCGGCUCAACCGGGGAGGGUCAUUGGAAACUGGGAAACUUGAGUGCAGAAGAGGAGAGUGGAAUUCCAUGUGUAGCGGUGAAAUGCGUAGAUAUAUGGAGGAACACCAGUGGCGAAGGCGGCUCUCUGGUCUGUAACUGACGCUGAGGCUCGAAAGCGUGGGGAGCAAACAGGAUUAGAUACCCUGGUAGUCCACGCCGUAAACGAUGAGUGCUAAGUGUUGGAGGGUUUCCGCCCUUCAGUGCUGCAGCUAACGCAUUAAGCACUCCGCCUGGGGAGUACGACCGCAAGGUUGAAACUCAAAGGAAUUGACG
Molecule: ribosomal RNA, 538 nt
Filed under: Enterococcus avium
Lineage: Bacteria; Bacillati; Bacillota; Bacilli; Lactobacillales; Enterococcaceae
Description: bacterial SSU rRNA
Rfam family: Bacterial small subunit ribosomal RNA
Source: RNAcentral